AGAGCUAACCCCUUUCUUGGAAGUGCUCAACCAAGGGGGUUAGCCUGCGGGCACUCUCCCCAUGUGAUGGUGUAUCGCUCGGCCCCGGCGUGCAGCGUCAUUGAUUUGACAGCAGUGGGAGCCAAUGGCCGCACUGCUAUCAAUCGUCCAAUGAAGAGCCGGCUCAAGUAAGUAAAACAGGGGCUCGAGGGGCUGUUGAGUGCAAGGUUUCGCCUUAAUGCAUAGGAUGCAUUAAGAUGAAAAACGGCUUUACCAACCCCUUUAAUUAACUUGACAGAGCUAGGACCAGAGGUAACAUUUGACUCUCUUGCAGACUGGCAUUGCUAGAGUACCAUUGGCAGGAGCAGCUGGAGGACCCAGAGUCAGAAGAGCAGCUGGUAGGUGUGCCAGCUGGUGCUCCUAUGCCGCAAGCCCCUGCUGGCUUGGCAGGCCCCGUCAGAGGCAGGUAAACCAUUUGCAUGCAGUUGGUAUGCUUGGGAAUCACGUAAGCACAUGAGAUGCUUUCUAUAGUCCUUUACCAAUAUUCUCUAAAGCACUGCUUAUGUUUCAUUCCAUUCUGUGAAAAAUGAAACUUGCAAAACAAUCUGUAUGGCAGUAAUAUAUACAGUAGCUUCAGCUUGAAAUGGCUUGUGUAGACCCUGAAUCGCUAGGGUAACCGUGCUGUCUUAUCGUGCUGUCUUAUCGUUCACUCUUCUUGAGGCUCCACUCACUGUGGAGGCCUGUUUUAUGUAUGUUGCCUUUUUGGUGGACUUUACUACUGCCCUACAUUUAAGAGCCCCUUUUACUUAUUGAUGCUCCAUUCACAUUUGUCAAGCAUUGACUUUACUGUUUAUGUAAUUUUGGAAUACUUAUUACACUCCAGUUGUCUCUCCCUUGAUGUUUGCUGGAUAUCAUCCUGGCAUUUUCUGAUAAAGUGUAUUUAUAUACCUGUACAGGUUGUUUUUGUAUUUUGGAAAACUUCAAUCUAACUUAUUGAAGGUGAAAUUGUUUUGUCAUUGCAGGUGAUGACGCCUCAGAGCUGCGACAAUGUUGCCGCUGCUGCAGCAGCCACAGCUAGUAUCACUGGGGCCCCAACACAGUAUGCUGCUGGACGUGUAGAUCCACCGCCACCAAUGGGUCAUGGAGCACCCCCACCAGGUGAUCACACCAGAGCUGUAGGAAUGUUGCUGCAGCAGCCACAGUUGGUAUUGCUGGGGCCCCAACACAGUAUGCUUCUAGAGGACGUGGAGGUCCACCGCCACCAAUGGGUCAUGGAGCACCCCCACCAGGCAUGAUGGUUCCACCAAUGGGCAUGCCCCCAGGCAGAGGAGGACCAAUGGGAAUGCCACCACCUGGAAUGAGAGGCAAUGACACCUCAGAGCCGUGGCAACAUUGCCGCAGCAUUCACAGCUAGUAUUGCUGGGGCCCCAGCAUUGUGUGCUGCUGGACGUGGAGCUUCACCACCAUCAAUUGGCUGUGGAGCACCCCCACCAGGCAUGAUGGGCCCACAUCCAGGCAUGAAGGCCACCCAUGGGUCCACCAAUGGGCAUGCCCACAGGCAGAGGACCAAUGGGAAUGCCACCACCUGGAAUGAGAGGUGAUGACACCUCAGAGCCGUGGCAACAUUGCCGCUGCAUCCACAGCUAGUAUUGCUGCAGCCCCAGCACGGUGUGCUGCUGGAGGACGUGGAUGUCCACUGCCACCAGGCAUGAAACCAUCUAUGGGCAAUGCCCUCAGGCAGAGGAGGACCAAAUGGUACCGCCACCUGGAAUUAGAGGUGAGGACACCUCUGAGCCAUGGCAAUGUUGCUGCAGCAGCCACAGCUAGUAUUGCUGGGUCCCCAACAGUGUGCUGCUGAAGGACAUGGAGGUCCACCACCAUCAAUGGGCUGUGGAGCACCCCCACCUGGGGAUCACACCAGAGCCGCAGCAAUGUUGCUGCUGCAGCCACAGCUAGUAUUGCUUGGUCCCCCAACAGUGUGCUGCUGGAGGAUGUGGAGGUCCACCGCCACAAAUGGGUCAUGGAGCACCCCCACCAGGCAUGAUAAGCACACCUCCAGGCAUGGGUCCACCAAUGGGCAACCUCCAGGCAGAGGAGGCAAAAAUGGGAAUGCUGCAACCUAAUGAGACUGCCACCAUCUGGAAUGAGGUGAUGACACCUCAGAGCUGUGGCAAUGUUGCUGCAGCAGCCACAGCUAGUAUUGCUGGGGCCCCAACAGUGUGCUGCUGGAAUGUGGAUUUCCACCAAUGGGCUGUGGAGCACCCCCACCAGGCAUGAUGGGCCCACCUCCAGGCAUGAGGUCACCAAUGGGCAUGCCCCAGGCAAAUUAGGACCAAUGGGAAUGCCACCACCUGGAAUGGGAGGUGAUACCUCAGCAGUGGCAACGUUGCUAUAGCAGCCACAGUUUUUCUAGGGCCCCAACAGUGUGCUGCUGAAGGACAUGGUGGUCCGCCGCCACAAUGGGUCGUGGAGUACCCCCACCAGGUCCUCCACCACCAAGCAUGAGGCCAACCAGGCCAUGAUCCAAGCUGCCUGAAGACUUCACUUGUACAUCUGGUGUUCCUCAUUGGCUCUUGUCAUGGGACUGUUUAAAUGUUUUGUAACCUUUUCUUUGUAAAUUUUUAAUAAAGUAAAAAAAACUCA
Rana temporaria (common frog) is the source of this 2622-nucleotide RNA transcript. It is a transcript of the gene named small nuclear ribonucleoprotein-associated protein B'-like, with no coding region annotated. The record is from RefSeq and is a predicted model, not a curated record. The transcript has 14 exons. Lineage: Eukaryota; Metazoa; Chordata; Amphibia; Anura; Ranidae.